Molecule: ribosomal RNA, 468 nt
Filed under: uncultured bacterium
Lineage: Bacteria
Description: partial 16S ribosomal RNA
Rfam family: Bacterial small subunit ribosomal RNA
Source: RNAcentral
GACGAACGCUGGCGGCGUGCUUAACACAUGCAAGUCGAACGGAAAGGCCCUGCUUUUGUGGGGUGCUCGAGUGGCGAACGGGUGAGUAACACGUGAGUAACCUGCCCUUGACUUUGGGAUAACUUCAGGAAACUGGGGCUAAUACCGGAUAGGAGCUCCUGCUGCAUGUGGUGGGUUGGAAAGUUUCGGCGGUUGGGGAUGGACUCGCGGCUUAUCAGCUUGUUGGUGGGGUAGUGGCUUACCAAGGCUUUGACGGGUAGCCGGCCUGAGAGGGUGACCGGCCACAUUGGGACUGAGAUACGGACCAGACUCCUACGGGAGGCAGCAGUGGGGAAUAUUGCACAAUGGGCGGAAGCCUGAUGCAGCAACGCCGCGUGCGGGAUGACGGCCUUCGGGUUGUAAACCGCUUUCGCCUGUGACGAAGCGUGAGUGACGGUAAUGGGUAAAGAAGCACCGGCUAACUACGUG